RNAcentral lists this unclassified non-coding RNA (345 nucleotides) under soil metagenome. RNAcentral describes it as "partial contains 5.8S ribosomal RNA, internal transcribed spacer 2, and large subunit ribosomal RNA". The stretch from base 1 to 120 matches the Rfam family "5.8S ribosomal RNA", at positions 35 to 154 of the family's 154-position model. The record is from RNAcentral.
GAUGAAGAACGUAGCGAAAUGCGAUACGUAGUGUGAAUUGCAGAAUUCAGUGAAUCAUCGAAUCUUUGAACGCACAUUGCACCUCUCGGUAUUCCGGGAGGUAUGCCUGUUCGAGCGUCAUUUGUACCCUCAAGCUCUGCUUGGUGUUGGGGAUCGGCUCUGCCCUUCUGGGCGGUGCCGCCCCCGAAAUACAUUGGCGGUCUCGCUGCAGCCUCCAUUGCGUAGUAGCUAACACCUCGCAACUGGAACGCGGCGCGGCCAUGCCGUAAAACCCCAACUUCUGAAUGUUGACCUCGGAUCAGGUAGGAAUACCCGCUGAACUUAAGCAUAUCAAUAAGCGGAGGA